This 25341-nucleotide long non-coding RNA is filed under the name Phaseolus vulgaris (common bean). RNAcentral's name for it is "long non-coding RNA (PVUL_LNC004032)". The record is from RNAcentral. Lineage: Eukaryota; Viridiplantae; Streptophyta; Magnoliopsida; Fabales; Fabaceae.
CUUCUCUCUCUAUCCUAAGGCCAAACGCAACAUCUUCACUCACCAUUUCCUUCUUCACCCUGCUCCUCACCAAUGGCUUCCCUCACUCUCCCUAACCACUAUCUUCCCACCUUGCUUCGCUCUCACUCCCCCAACUACCCAUCUUCCCAAAAUCUCUCACUCUCUUCCACGCCAUCAAAUUCUCAAUUUUUCGGUCUCAAGUUGUCUCAUUCUCCCUCUUCCUCAAUCCCCUCUUAUUCUUUCCUCAGAACCUCCAUUUUCGCCAAGGUACAUUUCACUCUUCAUCAGCUUUUUGCAUGUUGGUAACUUAACUUAAUAGUUGUUUUGUGUUGUAUGUUCCUUGAUAGGUGAGUAAAGGUUCAAGCCCACCGAAUUUCACACUGAAAGAUCAGAAUGGGAAGAAUGUGACCCUCUCCAGCUUCAAGGGAAAGCCAGUAGUUGUGUAUUUCUACCCUGCUGAUGAGACUCCUGGCUGUACCAAACAGGUAAAUACACACAAUGUCUUCUAGGAAUAAUUCAAAGUGGAGAUGCCAAGUUUUUAAAGAUUUUUGGUGAUUAGUGUAGUAAAAUUUAUCGAACUAGUGCAUAUUUCAUUUGGAUAUUACUGAAAUCAGCAUAUUUUUUUUUAAAAUUACAUCAAUGAUUCACCAGAACAACUUUGUUUAAAGAAGUCUUGUUUUAUAAAUUUGAUUCCAAGGUUAGGUAUGACUCUUGAAAUCAUGAAUGUUGACAACAACUUUACUGUAUAUGAAGAACUGGUAUGACAACUUUGAUUAUUGGUAAUUUAGAGUUGAAUCUUUUUAUAUAUAUAUAAAAUGAAAUCAUCAGGGUAUAACAGGGUUUGAGUGUAAUUAGAAUUGAAGUAGAAGAAGUAGUGCAUCCGAAACAACGAUUUAUGUAAUUGUAGGCUGAGCGCCGAUCAAUUAAUAUAUGCUAAUAUUUUUUGCACUACUACACUAUUGCAUUAAUGUAUAUAACUAAAUUUUUAUAACUUUAUUACCGUUGUAAAAAUGAUAAGUAAAUUAUUAUAACUGUUGGUUGUGUUUCUGCUGUGGCCUUUCGAAGUAUUGUUCAAGAAGAAUCUCGAUAGAACUCUGGUGUUGUAUAUGCAUGAUACAAAUGGAGGGUAAUAAAAGUUAGAGAAUACUUCACACCCUGUUAGGUUUAUCUGUACUAUUCUUGAUUUGGUUAUCUCUGUAUCCCUAUUGUGGUUCAUCUUUUGCUAGAAGGUUCUUGAUGUAUAUAGUUAUUGGGUUUUAGUCACAGCACAUUAGCUUAAGCAGUCAGAUUGGGUCCAAAACCUCUAAGGGGAGUCCUGAGCAGGUUGUCUAUGGAGCAUGAAGGAUUAUGGUAUAAUUCCAACAGGGUAAAGGCCUGCAAUUGGAUUAUACUGUCCUGGUGGUGGUACAAUGUAUGCAAGAACAUACAAUCAAAUCUAAAGUUGUAUAGCAAUUAUAAAAUGUCUCAUAAAAAUGACCAACAAUUUCUUCUGACAUAGUCUUAUAAUACGNNNNNNNNNNNNNNNNNNNNNNNNNNNNNNNNNNNNNNNNNNNNNNNNNNNNNNNNNNNNNNNNNNNNNNNNNNNNNNNNNNNNNNNNNNNNNNNNNNNNNNNNNNNNNNNNNNNNNNNNNNNNNNNNNNNNNNNNNNNNNNNNNNNNNNNNNNNNNNNNNNNNNNNNNNNNNNNNNNNNNNNNNNNNNNNNNNNNNNNNNNNNNNNNNNNNNNNNNNNNNNNNNNNNNNNNNNNNNNNNNNNNNNNNNNNNNNNNNNNNNNNNNNNNNNNNNNNNNNNNNNNNNNNNNNNNNNNNNNNNNNNNNNNNNNGGAAGAGAGACUUAUGUGAUUGACAAAAAAGGGGUGGUCCAGCUUGUCUACAACAAUCAAUUCCAACCAGAAAAGCAUAUUGAUGAGACCCUGAAAAUACUUCAGAGCCUUUGAGCCUUUUCAUUCUUUUGUUUUCUAUUCCCGCGGGCCUCAUUCAGUGAAUUUUAAGUUUGUAAGCACUGUAAUUAUGUAGCUGACUUUGGAGCCUUUGACACAUUCCUUGGAGGUCAUGACAUGUAGAGACAAAAAAUUUAUAACCUCUCCGGAUGGAAAUAAUGCCUCCUUCAUUUGCCAAAAAUACAGUGAGAUUAUUAUAUAUGUAUCUUUUGCACAUGGUGAUGUUAUGUUUAGCUUCAAUUGACAAAGUGACCAUCCACUAUAAUUUCUAUAUGAUUUGAAUUUGCUAUUUGAAACAAGGUUCCCUUCAGCAAUACAUAUGAUUUAUUUGAUCAAAGUUGUUGUAACAUUGAAGGAGUUUUGACUACAUCCAUGGAACAUGACUCUCAACUAUCUAAACGACAUUUGGCUCUCAACUUACCCUUAAAUUUUUCGCCCUCGGUUUUAAGGUACCACCAAACUUAAAACCAGUGCAGCAAUUAUUUUUAUUAUUAUUACUAUUAUUAUUAUACUAGUAUUUAUGCAGUCACUGAGAGAGUGGUAGUAAGCUUAUAUAUUCAAUCUUCCUUGGCAUAGUCUUCAAUGCUAUAGGGGCCAAAUACUUCGGAUAACCAGUUCUUUUUCCUCCAGGAACUCCACCCUAAAUCUUUACAAAUUUCAUCACUAUGGUUGAUGCUAUAAGUUGAAAUGCAGUGCCUCUUAUAGAACCUAGUUGACCUUUUCAUCACUUCUAUCUCCUUGGCUGUUUGUGAAAGCAUGCUCUCCACACUUGGGAGCUUGAAUUUGUCAUCUACCAGCCCAGAAAGCCACAUGGAACGUAUCUCUGACGAGUGAAGAUUUGAAACACUCUCAACGAAACCCACAAAAGCCAUGUUUGGAAUCAAUGGAUGGAUAGUUCCCCUAUCAUGAUCAGCAUGAAUCAUCUGUUAGUUCUCACAUACGAAUAUUUAACAUAAUUUUGAACACAACCAAUUAUCAGGUAAAAUUUAUUAAAAAUUACAAAAUCACAAUUGUAAUUAUAAAAACGAAAUACAUUCUUCUGAUGUAGUUUUGUAUGGAAGCAAGCACAAUGAAUUGAAGCGUCCUUCUUACCUAUAUAAAGGCAUAAUACCAGAAGAGUACUCCAACAAGCUACAAAAAGGCUCUGGUAAAAUAGUUUUGAGUUUUUUCUUUCCAUCAAAACCAGUUGCAAGAAUCACUACAUCAGCAUUCAGCUUAGUGUUGUCUUCAAAUUCAAUUCCUCCAUUCCAGAAGCACCACUUUGAUGCCUUCUUAAAGACAAUUUUUCCUUUUUCAGCCUCGGAGAAGAAAUUUUCUGGCAUGAUGGCCAUUUGACAAGAUGCAUAAUCCUCCACAAAUGGGUGUUCUGGUUUUAAUCCAUACUUCUCCAGUGGAAGUUUCCAUAGAAGGUAGGACUCAAUAAACUUUGAAAUUCCACGCCUCUAUAACAUAGCAAAAAAGCAUUAGCUAUGCUUGUAACAACCAUAAUUAACAUAUAUGUGAUUCAGGAUAGUGAAAAACUUUAAUGUAAUUUACCAGUGGAGAUAACAUGAGGCAAAAAAGAGUCCUGAGUAAGCCUUGAUCGGGUCUCUCGUGGAUAAACUGAGAAGAUCUUGUUGAGAAGAACAUGAAAAAGGGCAAUCCCCAAAUCCAGUAAUGGGGAACUGUCCAAUGCAAAGUCCUUACAACCAUGGUGCAAGCUUGUCCUUCAGCUCCUUCAGAACAAUACACCGUCAACUUUGUUAUGCAUGUUGAAAUUUAAGAAACAAAAAAAGAGAAGUAAAACAAGACAUGUAAUUAAUUAGCUAUCUAUAUCUUUUAAUCUUCAUUACUUGGGCCAUGCAGGUUACUCACAACUCUUAAUUGACAAAUAAUGGAGAUUAUCUUAAUUAAUAAUAACUAAUAUAAUGAUAUGUUAUUAUAAGCAAAAAGAACAUAAAAAAUUAAAUUAGUAAAUUCCACACAAGUAAAUGAUGUGUUAUUGUAAUUAUGUUUGCCUGUUACUCUGUAACAGGAUGAAAAACAUUGAGACAGCCAAAUUCAAAUCAAAAUAUUUGAAAAAAAGAAAUUUCUUUGAUUUUUCUAAACAAUAAUUAACACUUAUCCCUCUCUGUCUAUAGCAUGGUAAGAUCUACAUGUCAAAUAGCUUGAAGGUGUUUGUCAAUGAUUUUUCAUUAUUUAUCGAAGUUGGUGGAUGCCAUGAGGUGUUGAAAUUUUAAUGGACUUUUCUUAUGAUGAUAUAAGACUCCCACACGUUGCUUUCAUGUCUGUGGGUGAAGAUGAAGGUUGGAACCCGUCGUUUAAAGCCAUUUCCAAACAUUUGUGAAAGUCAAAACUGAUUUGUGGAAUUCUAUUUUAUAUGACUCAUGACCUAUGAAUUCGUUUCAUAUAAAGCUUCACAUGAAAUAUUAUAUUAAAUAAAAUGAAAAGAACAGUAUGCAAGUCAAAACAUAUUUGUUUCAUACAUAAAACAAAAAGAACAGUAGUGUGCAAUCAAAAACAUGCAAGUAGCAACUUGGAAAAUAAAGCCCCUACUUGCUUUAGCAUUCAAGAAAAGCAAUAAUAUAAAUUAUAUACAACCAAAAAAUCAUUUGGAAAAUUAGUGUUGUCUCCGUUGGUGCUUUAUAAGCAGUAGAACUGAAAAUGACAUCGUGACAGAAAAUAAAGCAGAAAGGAAAGCAAAAAGUAAUAGUGCCAACAUGAAAAUGAGGUUCAAGAAAAAAACAAUGUCGUUAUUUUCCACAGCACAGGCGACAGAUGAUAAAUAAUAGGCAACAUGUUCAGUCUGGAGCAUUGAACGCCACCUUUGUCAUAACCAAACUGUAAAAAAGGUUUGAAGAAUAGCAGAAGAAAUUUGAAAGAAAAUCGAGGCACACGCAUGCAUCAAAAUAAUUGCCAGCUUUCACAUUGAUUAGUCAACAGUUCAUUUUCUUUUCUUUUUAAAGGAACCAUAAUACGUUACCAAAUACCAUAAUAUUUUUUGGUAUUGACAUUUUCAUUACAUGUAUUUCUUAACCACUAAUAAUAAUUUGAGGGGAACAAAGAUUUAAACAAUAAAUAACUCAUAACAUGCUGAUAAAAAAAAACUCGUAAAACAUAGUAAUUUUCAGUUUUACUUCACAAAAAUAUUUCACAUGCAUCCAACAGAUGUUAUUUGUGCAUCUUCUACCAAACGUUUAAACAGCAUUUUUUGUUUUCAAAAUGAAAAAAACCAACUAUUUGGAUUAAUUUUAUUCUGACUGAGUUACUCUAUAGCUAAAGCGAUAAAUUAUAAAAGAACAGAUAAUGUUUCUGACGGUUAGAAUAUGAUAUUUAACAACAAUAAGUUACCAACUAGUAUGAUUUGUUGUUUAUAAAACUCAUAAAUUAUAUAUAGCCCUUAUUAUUGCAAAUAUAACUGUAAUUAGAUUAUUUAUUUAGGCUUAAAAGUCACAUAUUUUUACAUAUUGAUGCAGUGUUAAUUCACUGGAGAAAGUUUCUUCAUAAAUAUCUUUAAAAAAAUAAACAAACUAUUUAACUUAUGUAAAAAUGUAAUUUUUACAUAAGUUAAAUAGUUUGUGUGCAUUAAAAAUUAUAUUUAAAAACUUAAUGUAAAGUUCUAGAGUUUAACUGAUACAUAAAUUAAUAACUAAUAAAAAAUUAAUUUUGUUUUUUAUUUUUAUUAAAUUACUUAAUGAAGUUUUUUUUCCAAAGGGAAUAUAUAUAUAUAUAUAUAUAUAUAUAUAUAUAUAUAUAUAUAGUAAAGAUGGGAUUAUUAUUACCUUGGUUUGCCUGUGCACACUCCAUGGCUAAAUCAAGAGCUGACUUUUUGAAACCAACCACUACCACCUUUUUCCCUUUGAGAAGUUCAGUAGCAGCUUCCUGGUCAAGUUUACAGUAAUCUAACGAAUGCAUCACCUUUCCCUUGAAUAUCUGUGGCCCUUUCUUCUGUGGAAACGAUGGAAUCUUGGGUGUGUCCCCAUAUUUCCCAAUGCACACCACCACAAACUCGAACCCAUACCACUAAUGGAUUAAGGAAACAAUUAUCAGCACAUGCUCAUAUCAUUUUCAUACAACUUGUGUCAAAUAUUUUUGUUAAUUAGUUUACAGUAAAAAGUUCUGCUACACAAGUUUGUAUCAUUCAUUUGAAGAUACUUAUUAUUAAUCAUAAAUGUUAAAACUGGCAGAUGGAAAUUAUUAAAUUUAGUAAAUUGGAUUAAGGAAAAAAAUACCUUUAUGUUGGUUAAUUGAACUGUUUAAGUAUAUUUAAAAUGGGAAUUUGUAAUUAACAAAUAUUUGAUAUGAUGCAUCUAGAUAAAAGGGUAAGGUAGCUAGUAAUUUUUCACAUUAUAUUCAUCUCAGCUCAUCACUGGUAUAAAAACAAAAGUCACUGAUAGGUCAGAAGCUUCAUGCAACAAAACACUCGAUUUUUCAAACUGGCAAAUUGUUUUAUUUAUUUUUUAAGUACUUUAAAUUCAAAAGUUACAAAAUGUAUAACGAUCGUGGAAUAAUAAAUAGUCCAAAACAAUAUUUCAUUAUCAUUUUAUAAAUUGAAAAUACUAGAUAAAAAUUAUUUUCAAAUGCAUUUUUAGAAAUCUAAAGAAACAAAAGUGUUCUUCCUUUCUUUGUGGGAUGACGUGAUGAGAAGAACUUUUGGCAACUUGUUUCUCAGUUUUGAAGAGUAAUUCGGAAGUAUGUGGAAGAAUAAUAACAUUAAAAAUCUAUACUCACAAAUUGUUUAAACCCUAGGUGUGUUUUUUUAUGUAAAGAUACGAAAAGAGUUUGAUUUUGAGAAGGUAAUAAUUUGUGAAGACCUGAAUGGUGUCUGAGUGAUUGGUCUGCACAGCAACUUCCCACACAGGCUUACCGGGAAGCAGGCUUGAAAAGCCAGUGACUUCCCGGUUGCCGGAGAAGCGGAUUUCCACCACCUUGGAGUUGAACCUGAUGUUCUUGAGAACAUCGAAGUGGUGAGCAUAAGAGUGCAGAUAACUGAGUAUCUCCAAAUGGGUGGGGAAAUCGGGAUUGUCCCUGUGAGGCCAAGGGAAAUCGGUGAAUUCAUAAUCACGACGAUGAGACUGAAGCUUGGUGGAGUUGUAGGAGCAAUGGCUCCAAACCCCACCAAUGGAAUCUGAGGCCUCAAAAACAAUAGGGUUGUGAUGGGAUAACUGUUUAGCAGCUGCUAUGCCACUUACCCCAGCCCCUAUGAUGCCUAUUUUUGAGACCAAAAUGGGAUGGUUUUGGUUAUCCAUGUAAUAUGAUUUGGUAUAACUGGGAUCCAUUUUCAACAAGGUGUUUAUGUGUGUAUCUAUUUGAUGAACUGAUUACUGCUAUCAAAAUGGUAGCCUUAGAAAUGUAUUUAUAGAUGUAUGCAGCUGCAUCACUCGUCACUGUGAUGUCACAGAGCGUAGACUUCUACAGUGAACAAAUCAGAAAUACAAAAAUACAUAAUAUAAUGCAUGCAGACCCAGCUUUGUUUUACAUCUUGAAAAACACAUAAAAAAUAUAAAUGUAUUAAUAAGAGAUAUUUAGCACUUUUAAUAAUAUUACCAAGUUUUAUAAUGUGUGGUUUAUAUGUAAGUGUCUUACUAGUUAUUAUUUCUAGGAAAUUCUUCCGUGGAUAUAACUUAAUAUCUCCUUUUUAUACAUAUUUAAUAGGAAUUUUAUAAAUAAUAAAAUAAAAUCAUCAUUUAUUAUAUUUGUUUCGAUUCUUUUUAAUUUGGAAAUGAAAUAAUUAGAUUUUUAUAGUAAGAAUUUGAUCGGAAAAGUAUUUGAUGAAUUAUGCAGAGAAAAUGGAGUGAAUAUAUACAGCCAGUAGAUUCAUAUCUCUCUUUUUAUAACUAAACCUCUCUAUAGUACUCCAAUUAAUUUAUUUUAUUUUUCGUUAACCUUGAAUAUUAAUUAUAUACAUAUUUUUGUGUUUCUAAUAUUAAUGAGAUACUGUUUCGUGUAGCAUAAAUUAUAUAUAAAUAUUUAAUGAAUAUAGAAUGAAAAAAUCGAUACUCUCUUAAAUAACUUUAUUCAUGAUUUAUAAAUGUCUUUCUACAUUGGCAAGCCAUUCACAUUUUAAUAUGUAUUUGUGAGGGAAGUACAUUUUGUUGGACACCAAGUUUUUUUUUUUUUAUCAAUGAAUAAACAAAUAUGGAUAUUUUAAGAAUGAUUGAAUCCUUAUAAGUUAUGGAACUUCUAUCUAUGCAUGUGGCAUGAAUAUGUUUGGAAAAUUAAGAUAAUUACGAGGCCAUGACCUUUUCAAACAGAAACUAACGUGACUAUAUAUAUAUAUGAAUCCACGCCAAUAAGGGGUGAUGGUCAAAGUACUUAGAAAACAUUCAUGAAAACACUUUAUUUAUAGGAGGUAUAUACAUAGAAAGUGAACCCUAAGAGGGAUUAAAUAUGUAUAUCAUCGUAUAUUUCAUUUAGGCUUUUUUUAUGCUCCAACUCUAACUUGACAGAAGUAAUUUAUUUUAAGAAUGCUGAUAUGUUGAUAAUUCUACAACAAAUUUUUAAAUGUUAGAAUAUUAAGGAUUCAAGAAUAGUAGAUCAUACACAGAUAUGUCAGAAGAAUAGGAGUGUGAACAUAGCUUGCAUCAAUGACUAUGCAAAUUAUAAAAAAAAAAUAGUCCAAACACGUUGGAAUAAAGUUAGUAGGACCAACCAACCAACGUACAUAGCCAGUGAGAGAACACCUCGUGCACGUUUUACAUUUUAUAAACCUCACUCGAUGAACUUCUUUACAUUUUUUAAAACUAAAAAGACACGUAUUUCGUGUAAAUCUUAUUAUAAUUCUUGUUUGCGGUGAACUAAGUAUUACAGAAUAUUGGUUAUUCAGACUAAUUUGGCAAAUACGUUUAAGAAAAUGAUAAAAUGGUUGUUAUAAGUUGAAAAACAAUUGUUAAUUGAUUAAAGACGUGCAUGAGUAUAUAGUAAUAAUUGAAGUAAAAGAAAGAAUGGGUAUGAAGGGGCGUGGUUUUGUUUUGUGUUGACCAUGCAAAACUUUCAAGUCGAGUUCAAGUUUAGGGACUUCAUUCUCGCAACCAAUUGAUUUACAGCGGAUGAAGUCAACCACUAAACAAUUAUAUUAACACAGCCAUAAAUUUACAGGAAAAUAAAUUUGCAGCAUAUGAGAAAAAUGAAUGUGAUGACGAUGUUGGGUGUCACAUCUGGAAUGAAUAGAGAGAUAAAGAUAUAGAAAAGGUGGAAGGGAAGGUAUAUGGUAUGCAUGCAUCUCUCACAUUCAAGCAUUGCUAAGAGGUGGCUUGGGAUUUGGCAUUAUUUUUGGAAAACUCAUGCAUGGAGGCUGGGUGGGAAAGGGGUAGGAACCUUGGAAGGAAGUUUGGGAGGAACAUUGCACUUGGAAACACUUUAUGCAUGCAUGGAAAAUUGGAAACGGCUCUUGAUAUAUCAGAUUAUUCUCAUUUUUGCAUGCCACCUACAUUUCCUUCCUAAGUUCCUAACCUUAAUAAUGGAUCAUAUUCUGUUUUUUUUUUCUAAGUGUGAACGUUAUAAUAUUUUCAUUCUGACGACAAUGUCAAGGCUCUUAUAAGCAAUUGGACCGUAUUAUUUUUUGUUGACAAUUUUUUGAUUCAACGACAGCGUAAAAGUCUAUGAUAUCAGUUUCAAAAACACCAAGAGGCACAAGUAUGGCAAACUUACAUAUUUUAAGGUUUUUGAUAAGAAAUAAAUUACACGAUUUGGUAGUUUGUAUUAGUAGUUUAUAUAUUAUUAUAAUUGGGUAACGCUGUAGAUGUUGAUAGAAUAUUGUUCAGUCUUUGGAGGUUUCUUCCUGUGCUUUUCUACUUGCUUUUACAUCCGAAUCCCAACUAAAUCUCAAUCAGAUUAUUUAAUGGGGGUUAUUGCUUAAAAAAAUAUAGUAUAGUGAGUAUAAUAUACUGCUACGUAUUUUACUCUAAAAAAUACACACACAAAAAACUAUUUUGAUACGGUUUAUUGCUUAAAUGGUUGAGAAUUUGAAUUUAAUAAUAUAAUAGUGCGUAUACUUUAGUUAAUAAAAAUUGUGAAUAAUAUAUUAUUAUAAUUAGAUGUUUAAUAGUUGUUAUCUAAUAUACAUUACAGGAUUAUGUGUAAAAGAUAUAAAGUUCUAAGCUGUAACUCAUAUCUAGAAAGUUAUAAACUGGGUUGUACAUAUGGACUGAAUUUGUUUUUCUUAUCAGAAAAGGUAAAUAAAUGUAAAGUAUUUUAAAGAUUAUUACACCUAGUGCAUAAUAAAAAAAAACACUUUCUAUUGUGUUUGGAUUGAGGAGGGAAUUUGUGAGGAGGAGAGGAAGUGAAUUUGUGAGGAUUAGAGAGGAUAUGUGAAGAUAUCUAAGGUUGUUUGGAUUGAGAAAUUUGUGAGGAUGUUUUAUUGUAAGUUUACAAAUUUAUCUUUGUUAUUAAAAUUUUUUUGAAUAAUAAAUUAUGAUUCUUUUUGUGUGUAGGCUUGAAUUAAUUAAAAUUUUCUAAUAUAUAAUAUUCAUAAUUACUCCUAUUUUUAAUAAAAAAAAUUAAAAAAUAUAAUAGAAAAUAUUUUUGUGUUAAAUUGAAAUAAAACUAUUAAAUAUAUUAAAAUUUAUGAAAAUAAUAUUUAUUAUUAUAUUCAUUUAUUAUUUUAUAUAACUAUAUAUAUUUUGUUAAUAUUAUAAUUUUUAUUUUAUUUUAUUACUUUCAUUAUUUAUAAUUGUAUGUUGUUAUUAAUAGUAUAAUUAAAUAUUUUUGAAAUUAUAAAUAAAUUUAUGUAAUAUUUAAUUUUGUAUAUUGUAAUAAAAUGCAUGUACAAGAAUAUUUUGGUAAAAUACAACAAUCUCCACAAAUCUCUUCAUUUUGUGAAGAAUGAAAAAAACCCUCCACCCUCUUCCACAUCCACCCCUCACUCUCAAAACCAUGGAAAAAAACACAAAAAACACUCCCUCCCUCUUCACACUUGGAAGCAAACACACCCUACACGACAGAAAAACAAUAGACCCUACUACUGAAUUUGUAAUUAACUUUUCAAUGUAAUAACUUCUUCAUAUUUAUGUUUUUCAUCAUCAUAAGAAGAAUUAACAAAUACAAAGCAUACCUCAACUCUAUUACAAUAUCCCAAAAGAAACAACAUCGAGCAAAAUAGGAUGAAUCACCUUAUGUAAUAUUAAUUACCUACGUGUAAGUUUCUUCAACUUCCUUUGGUUCGUUCGAGUUACUCGAGAUAACUAAAUAUUAAAAUGAGUGAAAGACAUUAGUUUUAAUCAACCAAUGUUAUAAUAAUAUGAGAUAUAUUAAAAAAGGUAAUUGAAAUAUUAAGAAUAUAUGCUCUGAUAUGUGAAUUGUAAUAUUUUGACUUGUCUUAGACAAGAUCAUGGUUUGUUUUUUUUUUUUUUAAAGUUGUUAAAGUGCGUAAGGAAUCUAUUAAUUCGUUUUGUUAAAGAAGGGUGUUAUUGACAAGUGCAAUGUAAAUAUACAAAAACAUAUUUGAAUAGGAAAUUUGUGGAAGAACAAUUUUCACAACUUUGUGCAUCACAUUACUAGAAUUGUGUUUUGUUUGUCAAAUGCUCUGAAGUGGAAAUGUUGUGUUGUGUAUGCAGGGCCAAAGAAUAAAGAACGAUGUGUUAGGAGAGGAGAGUAGAUGUGGGUGAAAAGAUGGUUAACAACAGACGUCAAGAAAAAAAUGUUUUUCAUGAUGAAAUACAAAGGUAAAAAUUAUGUAAUGAUGCAGGUUGGGGCUUAUUAGUGGCUGGAGUGUGGGGAUUUUAGUAGGAAGAGUACAAUGUAAUUUGGUACUUGGUUAAUAGUAAUUCAAUUGGAAAAACAAAGUAAUAUAAUAAAUGGAAUGUGGUGUCUAUAUGAAAAAUGCAUAUUUUCAAGUUGUGUUACAGGAGUUACCUACUUCUAGAAAUAAUAAAAUGAUGGAAUUGGAUAUGUAGAAGUAGAUGAAAAUAUUAGGAUGAUCUGUAUAAGAGUUGGUCCCUAAAAUACCUCCUAUUAUAUUAUUUUUUUCUUACUAAUAAAAAAAUUUAUAAUAAUAUUUCAUUCCCUAUAAAAAAAAUCUAGAAUGUUUCUUAGUUAUGAGUGAAUAAGACAUAAUUUUUGCUACAUAUAUGGCAAAAUCACUAUAUUCAAACAAACUCGAAAAGAGCAGUGUAGGGAUAAAGAGGUCAUGGUGCUUUGCUGCAAAGAAGUCAUCAUAAUGUAGCCUUGAAAUCAUUUUUUUUUACCAGCAAGUAGCAAUGAAAUUAAAUGGGUCCACUUCAGGGGUGGUCCAACCCUUAUACAGAAAAUUAAAUUUUCAAAAAGUACCUUUCCAUCUACAUAUCAACCAAUAUGACAUCCUACUGUCUAGCACAACUCUAUCAAUUAAAGAGAAAAAUAAUAGAAAUGGUCAACCUUUAUAAACAUAUUAAAUCAACUACAUACAUACCAAGGGUUCUAGACACCAGUCAGAGAAUGAGAAUUUAGCUGACGAUAUCUUUGAUGAAAUCCAGGACCAAACCUUAAGUUGUGCCAGGGAGAAAACUUCAAUAUGAUCAACCACUCCACCUUUAAAUAAACAAUUAUUCCUAUGACUCCAAAUCUCACUAACCAACGUGAUCCACACGUUAGCCAUGAUAAGAUUAACUGAAGUAGACGCGUCCAAAAUCUUGAACUGUUCAAAAUGAGACCUAGGAUCCAUAAAGUCAACCGAGCUCACACCUAACCAGUCGUAACAAAGGUUCCAAAUUAGCCAAGCAACUCUGCAACCAAAGAACAAAUGAUUUGUUGACUCCUCUGACAUCCUUCACAAACAACACAAAUUUUUCUCGACCUCUAUAGCUCUUCUCUCUAGGUUUAUCCUGCAAGCAACCUUGUUUUCAAUCACUCUUCAAGUUGUGACGUGAGCUGAGGGAAGCGCCUUAAUACUCCAGAAGAACUUGUACCUUCUCGAGUCCUCCUCAUUUGCUUCUCCCCUUAGAAAACCAUAAGCAGACUUAACUGAAAACUCUGCUGACUCACUAUCCUUCCAAACCUAUCUAUCCACUGUUUCCAUCUCGGUCCUCUUGUUGGAAAUCAUCUCUAAGACUUGGCAUUCUUGCUCCUCCUCCCAAGCGAAAAAAAAACCCUUCUCCACCUUAAGUUCCACUCCUAGGUCCCGUUCACCCUUGUUCUACAAUCACAUAGAUUUGCCUCCUUAAGAACGGACAAAGAAAACAACCUUGGAAACUUGCUUUUCAAGUCUUCUUAGUCUACCCAAAUAUCUGACCAAAACAGAACAUCUUUCUUGUUUUCGACCACCCAAUUUAAACGAUCUUCAAACUUCCCUCCACAUUCCUUGAACCUCCAGACCUUCAUUAAAUCUCUCCACCACAGUGAGACCUUACCAUUAUUAGUUCGCUGCUCCUUUAGUCCUCUCCAUCCUCCAUACUUAGAUUCGAAGACCUCCCUCCACAACCCCCUUGUUUCUGUUUUCAGACGCCAACUCCAUUUUUCCAGCAAAGCCAAAUUAAAUUGUUUGACAUUAAUAAUGUCAGCCCUCCCGCUUCCCUGGAUUUACAAACCUUAUCCCAGGAAACCCAUGCAAUCUUCCUUCCUUCUGACCCCCAUCCCCAAAAAACUUCCUCUGCAGACUCACGAUCUUCUUCAAAACGAUAGACGGUAGUUUGAAUAGUGAAAUAUAGAACAUACUUAAUUAAGCAUAUCCUCUUUGGCAUCGAGAUACAUCUACCUUUCCACCUGUCUAGCCUUCUCUUUACUCUGUUUACCAUUUCAUCCCAGAAGUCACCUCUCUUAUGACACCCCCCUACUGGCAUCCCCAAAUGCUUAAAAGGAGUUCUCACCUCGCAAUUUUGAAUUGUCGCAGAGUCUAGAAUCUCCGUCUGAUCCACCCCAACCCCACCAAGUAUGCUCUUGAAGAAAUUCACCUUAAGACCAGAUGUCAACUCAAAUCAAUUCAACAUAACCUUUAUGUUAAAUACACUUUUGAUAUUUGCCUUACAAAAAAACAAAGUGUCAUUAGCAUACUGAAGCAUAUUUACCUUUACCAACUUAUUCCCAAUCUCUAGGCUCUCAACCAAGUCUUUCUCAAUCGUAGUCCUAGAUACCCCAAGUAGCCCUUCAACCGCUAUGAGAAACAAGAACGAAGCUAAAUGGUUGCCUUUGUUCAGCCCCUUCUUUGGAAUAAAUUCCCUAGUAGGACUCCCAUUUAUGAGAAUUGACAUCGAUGCAGAUUCCAAGCAAACUUUAAUCUAGGAAAUCCACUUUCCACAAAAACCGAGCAUGCCUAGCAUAUAAGAAAUAAAAUUCCACCUCAUAGAGUCGUAAGCCUUCUCAUAAUUCACCUUGAAAAACACACAACUUUUCUUAUUCCUCUUCAUCUCUUCUAAAACUUCAUUGGCUACCAGAAUACUAUCCAAUAGCCCCCUUCCUUCAAGAAAAGCGGAUUGCCUAACGUUGAUAACUUUACUGAUCACUUUUUUCAACCUAAUAGCCAAAAUCUUCGAAACCAUUUUAUACACACACCCUACCAGCGAAAUCAGUCUAUAAUCGCUAAGUUGUUGUGAAUUAUCUGUCUUAGGAAUCAAACAGAUGAACAAAGCAUUUGAUCCACUAGGCCACUUACCCUUGACCAUAAAAUCAUUUACCACCAAGACAAAAUCUUCCUUAAGACAGCCCCAACAAUACUUAAUGAAACCGAAGUUGAAUCCUUCUGGACCAGAGCUCUUUGAACUAUCACAACUCCAAACAAUGUUCUUAAUUUCCUCUUCAGACACUACUCCAAUUAGUGACACAUUAUCUUUGUUUGAUAACGAUGUGAACCGAACAUUGUCCAGCCUAAUUACUAGCUCGGACUCCCCGACAAAUCUAGCUUCGAAAAACUCUUUGACCUUAGUCUUUACCACCUCCUUCUCUUCACAACAUUGACCGUUCACUUCUACCUCGUUUACCCAUUUCUCAUUCUCCUCCACUUCACAUAUGAAUGGAAAAAUCUUGUGUUUAAGUCACCUUGUUUCAACCAUUUUUUCCUUGCUUUUUGUUGCACGACCGCUUCUUGUUUGAAUAAGUUCUGACUUUGUUCAGCCAACAAGAGUCUCCUCUCCUCCCGCCCAAACUCAUCUAAUACGCUUUCAUCGUUUCUUGUAUCCAACUCUUGAAUUUUCUUUUGUAGUUCAUCCCCUUCUUGAUUGACGUUCCCAAAAACCUCUUUAUUCCACUUCUUCAAAUCUAGUUUUAACUUUUUCAAUAUCUUUUUUAGUACAAACAUCCCUCCGCCCAACACUUAAUUAUUCUGCCAUUUACUCCGAACAAAAUCUAAAAACCUUCUGCCACUUUGCCACACGUCUAGACUUCUGAAAGGUUUCAGCCCUCAAUCUACCGACACCGUUUUGAGCACUAGAGCACAAUGGUCAGAGACCGAUAUGCUGACAACUAGUUAUUUACUAUUUGGCCAUACAUCCAGCCAUUCCCUGGAAACAAGAAUCAUGUCAAUUUUGCUCUUAACCGUCCCAUUCGGCUUGUACCAAGUGAACUUUCUUCCGACCGUCAGAAUAUCCAACAACUCUGUGUUUUCGAUGAAACCAUUGAACCCCCUGGUCUCCCUACUAUAAUCUGAAACUGAAACUACGCUUUUUCUUUCCUCCUUUCUUCUAAUUGAAUUAAAGUCCCAAACAACACACCACACCCUGUUUUGUUGAAUCUUCCUGAGUUCACUAACCUCAUCCCAUACCUCCUUCCUUUCUUUGAACGAAUCAGAAUUGUACACAUUCACUAUCGUAAUUUGUAUCCCAGCUCCUACUUUCCAAACUCCUUCGACGAUUGAAUAAGAUUUCCCGUUAAAGUAGUUCGUCAUAUUAAAACUACUUCUUGUCCACAUAAUAAUAAUUCCUUCUUCAUUAUUAACUGCCUCGUUCUCCAUCCAUUCAAUUUCAUUUGAGCCCCACAAAAAAAUAGCAAUUUUCCUUACUAAUCUUUGCGCACUUUGUCUCCUGUAGACAGACCAUUCCAACCUCCUCUUUUCUAAUAAAGUCUUUUAAGUAAGUUCUUUUCGUACUUCCUCUUAUCCCCCCUUAUGUUCAUGCUAAUUAGACUCAUCAUCUGAAACACUAUUCUCCUUCUGAACACUCAUGUAAUCCUGAAUCUCCAAACUGCGAAGUCUGUUUAAGACAACCUCUUCUUCUCUUAAGAGAGUGAAUCUCAUCUCCUUACCGGAACUCCACUUCCUUCUCGCUUCUCCGUUUUCAUCUUUUAACCAAAGCAUUCUACUAUAGUGACUAACAUCACUUUCUGAAAUUAUAAUUUCUGGCCUUAAUCCCUUUAACGAAUCUGAUUUAGAUAACAUUUCGUCCAAGGGACCAAUUACAUCACUCAAAUAAGACAUAUUUCCCACCCCUCCUCCGAAACUAGCCAUCAUCCUCCCCACUGGACAACUUGCGGCAAGAGGUCCUGACUCUCUCACCUUAACUGAUGGAGAUCAAGCUCAAGUGGACAUGGAGGCCAAUCAUCAAGAGCAAGAAGAGGUUGAGGCUCAAAUGGAGGAUGCUCAUGGAGUUCAAAGCCCACCUCAAAGGCUUACAAGGAGCAUGUUCAAGGCUUUAGGAGCUAAUGGACGUUUGUUUUCUCUUUUUGUAAUUUCUUUGUUUGAAGGUGCUUAGAGGGAAACAUAAGAAACCUCUUUUGUCAAAGCAUCUUUAGGUCUUUAGUUUAGGAGUCUUAGGGGGGUGUGCGUUUAGUAGAGAGGUGUAGAAGUAAUAGGGAGGUGCCAAAGUGAGAGAGGAAGUCACACCUUCCUCAUGCUUGGCGCCACUUUCAUGUAAUUUGGGGGGAAUUUUGAAUUUAAUUAGCUUUGCAUUUCAGCACCUCUAGGCUAUAAAUAAAGGUGCAUAGCUUGUACAAUUCAGAUUUGAAUUUUGAAUUAGAGAAACUCUACUCAAUUUGAGAGAGAAUUGGAGUGCUUUGUGCCUUCCUCACUUAGUCUUAUCUUGAGAGUUCUUUGGUUACCUCAAGUGGCGGCAUAGCACACUCAUCUUGGAUUCUCCAUCCUCUAAGUGGCGUGAUCAUCCAACCAUUCCUCCAUCUUCAUGAGUUUUCUCUUCUCCUUCCUUCCUUCUCUUUUUAUGUUUAUGUCUUAGCUUGUUUCCUUUGCUUUUUCAGUUCGGUUUCCUAGUGUUCUUGUUGUUUUGCUUCGGUUCCUUUUUCUUUUUGCUGUCCUCAUUGUUUCUUCUUCAUUUCUAGCUUAUUUGUUCAGUGCAAUUCUGUUCUUAUGCAUUUUGUUCGGUGCUUUUGCCUUUUCAUUCAAAUUGUUCGGUUCAAUUUGAUAAUACAUGGAACUUCCAUAUGAGUUUGGGUUUUGGUACUAGUCUUGGUGAGUUCUUGAUCAUAGAACCUUGAUCCAAUUCUAUCAUAAAGUGUCUAUCUCAUAUCCAACUCAAGAUGAUUCCUAAGAAUGUCAAGAAUCAUUCAUAUUGUGCUAUUGGAAUCACAUCAUUAACCCUGAGCGUAGACAACAUUGCUACUUCGACGUCGAAGCCCUCGACCUCUCUGUUAUGUACUAACCCCACCAAAUUCGUCUUUUCCGCAAUGAUUGUCGUCUUGUCGUCUAACUCACUCCUAACUUACUCGUUUCUUGCUUCGACAAACCUCCGCACCUCUCCCUUUCCUUCUCCAAGCACCGUUGUCCCAGCCGCCAAACACCUGCCACUCUCUUUCUCAUUGACGUAGCCUUGGAAUCAUAAGGUUAGAAAAUUCAUCAUAAGGAAGAAUAAAAUGGAAAAGUAAGGCUGAUUUAGGAAAGCUUAUCUAGGAAAUGAAGAUUAGUGUUGGUUUAGUAUGUAAGUUGGUUUUGAUGCAUAAUUUUAUUUUUGUAAGGAAGUGAUGACUAUUCUUGUAAAACUUAGGUCCACAUUUGUUAUAGGUUUUGUUUUACCUUGAUUUUAAAUAUUUUGUUACUUGUAUAAAGAUUAAGAUACCCUAAAAAUAUUCUUUUUAAUUCAUUUAUUUUUUGUUAAAAAAUAUAAAAAAAAACUCACAUACGACUUUUAUAUAUAUAUAUAUAAACAGUUCAUAUAGAUGUAACCAAGUUUUAUAUAUAUAUAUAUAUUAUAUAUAUAUAUAUUUUGAUUGCAUCUAUAUAAACUGUUUUUAUCAAAAAAUUAAGGAAAUUAUAAUAGAACUGGAUAUUCUCACUACAUGAAUUAAAAAUGACAAACAUUACACAAGCAAGGGAUGUUCCUAUAAAAUAAAAAUAUAUUUUUGUAAUUUUAAUUACUUUGUACACUCUUUUCUUUAAAAACAUUUAAGAAAAUUAUUUUAGUUAAAUUAAUAAUGGUUUUUGUUCGAUUAAUUGCUUAGUAUAUUGUGUCUUGUCGCAGUAAUUAUCAGGGAUAUAUUAUGUUGAUUUAUGAUUGAAUUUAAGUUUAUUAGAGAAUUGAAAACUAUUGUGAUGUCGCACAUGUAACUUACGAAAAAUUACCAACAAUAUUAAUAUAAACAACUAACACACAAAUGUUACCGACAAACAAAAUAACACAUUGAAACAACAACAAUAACAAAUAUUUUUUUUUAAAAAAUUACUAAAUUUAAGAAUUUCGAAUCGACAUGAUUAAAUAUCAUUAAAUGAUCAAUUAGUCUUAUAUGGCAGUGUUGUUGUCAUAAUAUAACAACAAAUAACUCGAUAAUAUUAAACAAAUAUUAACAAUGUGAAAAAUAUCAUUAGAAAUUUAUUAAAAUACAUAAAAUAAAGUAAAGAAGUAUACUAUCAUGUAAUAAAAUACAUACAAUUUUAAAAAUAUAUUAUGUAUAGAGAUGGUGGAAGAAUGAUUAAAUAUAUUUAUUAAUUUAAAAUGAAUGUCUAUACAGAAACAUAGACAUAUAAGUACAAAAUUAAGGGGGAAAAGUGAAUUUGAAAUAAGAUGCGACAAUCACUUAACAGGGAUAUUGACUAUAACCACUACUCGUCCAUUGUUUCUUCCAAUUAAGUUUUAAAUUAAAUGCCAUCUUUAUCCGAAAGUAGCUUGAUUCCGCUGGAGUUCACAUGAAUUAGUACCCUAACAUACACACCAUAUUGCACAUCACAAUGACUGAAACCUACCCAUUGGCCAAUAAAAAGAUACUUUAUCGGACAAGUCAGUCACCACUUUUUAGUAACCGAUCGUGCAAGUAAAAAAAAAAAUAGAAAAUAUAAUAAAUAAUAACAGUUAUAAAUAGCGUGGAACGAGUCCAACUAAAAUAUGCGAGAAUAACUGAUUAAUCGAAAGAUACUUGUUCUUAUUAUCAAGGAACUAUAUAUAUGCAUAUCAGUUAAUAAAUAUAAUCCUAUGUAAAUAAAUGAAUAUGGUACGUUUUUCUCAUUUUUAACUAGAACACAUUCAAAGUGUUGGAAUACCUUUUGCAGGUAAUCCCCCAAUCGAUCGAAUAUCAACAUUUAAAAAAUGAGUCUUAAAGUAAUUAGGAGAUCACUGACACGCCAACAAUUAUACAACCAGUCAAAAGUACUAUUUGAACCCCUCAACCUAUAUAGGUAUAUAUAUAUAUAUAUAAAUAGUAAAAAAAAAAUUGUAACUUUUUCUUUAUGAUAAACAUAAUACAUUUUAGAUUCUAAAUAUAAAUAUGUGUUCUAAGCCAUAUUUAUAAAGUUUGACAUCAAAUAAAUUUAAAAGUAGUUUGAUCCAAUUUAAACAGAGUAAUUCUCAUUUUUGUAUAUCUAAAUUGUGGAUGAGAUUUAAAAUAUAAAAGCAUAGAACCAUAGACGCCCUUAUAAGUGAAUUAGUGAAAAACGAACAGUUUUAUCCAUAACAGUAGAAGCCUGGCACUGUCCCUGUCAUUUUGGAAAAAAACGUUUAAGGUACAUAGAAAUGGUUGAAUCCACAGUAUAGCAUCUAUUUUGAAUGUUCAGGUUUGGAGACUAAGGAAGUUGGAAGGAAAUUAAACCUCAUUCCUAUCACUCUUAGUUAGGACAGUGUAUACCUACUUUCCCUUGUCUCUUUCAUUUUCUUUCCUACAAUUAUUUUUCGACUCAUAUAGAAACUUGCCCAUAGAUUCUACACGGAUAAUAAAUAAAUUAAAAAGUUAUGAUAUAUUGAUAAUCUUCGAUCGAAUUAUGAUUUAAAAAAAAUGUUAAAUUAGUAUAUAAUCAAGAUUUUAAUUAUCAAAUUUAGAAUUUAGAUUAAUUGAUAACUAAUUAAAUACCAAUUUAAAAUUUAUUUUAUUAAUUUUAUUAAUAAUAGAAAAAAAUUAUAAUUAAUAAUUUUUUAGUCACAAAAUUGUAUCUAAUAUAAUAAUUAACUAUUUUUGUUUUUAAAAUUAGAUUUCUUUAAUGAUUGUCUUUUGGGGAAGGAAUGACAUUAUAAGUGAAUACAAGGAGUGACAUUACAAGUGAAUACAAUGGAAUAAAAUAUCUUUAUGAAAUUAUUUAAUUUAAAGGAUAAAAUUUAAAUUAUAAAAAAAAUUAACUGUGUACUUAAUUUUAUAUAUUUUUUAUUAUAUAAAAUUAAAAAAUAUAUUUUUUAAAAGCUCUCAUGUUAGGUAUUACUAUGAAACUUGACAUUUCAACUAGGCUAACAUCUCAAGUAACAACUAUCAUCUAUUAGCACAUAAAAAAAUAUUAUUAAAAGAAAAAAGAAAGGAAAUACAAAAAAAUAUAGGGAGACUAUAUAGGUGAUCUAUACAUAUUAAUAAAGAACUCUAAGAUGGAGAUGAGGGAAAGAGGGCAACGCAGAGGCCGAUUGGGUCGGCAUGAAGACGAACGGGUUACAUCUUUUUUCUUUUCGAACUUCCCUACCGGAGUUGGAGAGGUAGAAAUGUUCAAGGUGUUCCAAAAAUGGGCUCGCGUGAAGGAUGUCUUCAUCUCCCGAAGAUUAAAUAAAUGGGGAAGGAGAUUCAGUUUUGUGCGGUUCUUCGGAGUGAGAGAUGCGGGACGUUUGGAAAGAGAGUUGGACCAGUUAUAUGUAGGGAAUAAGAAGCUCUUUGUGCACAUCCCAAAGUAUCAGAGGAAGAUGGAGGAACAAAGUAGGUUAGAGGGGGGGCUUCGAACGACCCCUUUAAGGGCGCGGCGGAACGAAGAUAGCCCUGACCUUAAGAAAAUCACGGUGGCAGGGGGAGAACAGAGAAGGAAGGACAUAUGGGUGGAGAAGAAAGGAAAUAGGUUUUAUGCAGAAGUUGCUACUGGUACAAAUACAGAUCAAUGGAAGGGGGUAAGCUUUAAAACACAACAAUGUGUAUUAUCGUGGAUGACUGAGAGUGCGGUGGGGAAACUUAGGGGUGGUAAGAACGUUGAUCAGCUGGUGGAGGAGUUGGAGUCAGGGGGCAUGAGCACGUUGCGUGUAAGAGCUCUAGGGGACAAUUUUAUUCUACUAACACCAAGAGAAGGGGAGAAAAUGGAGAAUUUCAUAAAGGUCAAUAAUGAGUGGGUUGACUCUAUGUUUGAAAGCUUUAAGCCUUGGUCAGCCUCCAGUGGCCCAAGUCAUAAAUCAGUUUGGGUGAGGUGUUACGGACUACCGCUCCCUCUGUGGAAUGAAGAGUGCUUUACCAAGUUGAUUGGAACUCUAGCUCCGUCGGCUAUGCUGGUAGGCAUUGACAGUUAUACGAAGUCUUGGGAGAAUCUGGAAUUUGCGAGAUUACAAGUCCGGAUCCUGAAGUGUGAGAGGGCUAGGAUGGCAGAAUGUGUGAGGAUCAACAAUCAGUUGUGCAAUAUCCUCAUUGAAGAGGAGACUCCAGGUUGGGUUGGUGACAGUGGUAAGAAUGUAACUUCGUCAUCUGUGUCGUCGGAGAGUGUAUCGUCCUCAAAAACCUACAUAGAAGAAACAAUUUUCAUGGGGAUGAGCGGUGAGGAUGAAAAUAGGUUAUGGAGGGGCGAGGAGCAUCUGUCAAAGUGCGAACGGGAAGGAAAAAAGGCGAUGGAAGAAGAUGAUGAACAGUAUCCGAAUGAGACAAAACGGCUAUUUGUGGGCUCCCCUUCAAAUAUAAGAGGUUGUCAGUGGAAAGGGGGGAAAACCUUAAUGAAAUGGGCAGAAAGGAUGUGCUGAUGUUGAUUUGAUAUCUUUCUCUGAUGAGGACUGUGGGGUAGUUGGGUACGGCAAACCAAUACAAGCUGAGUUGGCAAAAUUGGUGAUAGAGCUGGAAUGUGGAAAUUGUUCACUAGGUACAUGUGGGCCAACGAACCUUGAAAGGAAGAAAGAGGCCCAUUUCGUAGGGGGCUGGGACGCACACUUAGCCCAGUCGGAAGCGGGAGAUGACGUUGAUGGAAAGAAAGUAGAUAAAGGGGAGUGUGGUUUAAAGGAUGCUACACUAACUAGCUUGGUGGAUCGUGUAGGCCUGUUAGGGGACCCAGGGGCGGCCCACGGUGAAGUAAAACGUUGGGCCCUCAUACACGAACCAAUAGAAAUAAGUCGUGUGCAGGACAAUGGGUCUUGCUCUAAGAAGGAGGAAAGCAUGGAGGAACAAGAUGGGUCUCGAAGAGUAACGGCGAGAGCACCAUCAGAGCCACUUUCUGGGAUGGAGAGAGAAGUUUAGCACUGCAAGCCAAACUCACCGCAACGGCUGAGUAAGAAAAGAGAACCUGGUGGUGUGGGGGAAUCACGAUCAUACCCGAGGCAAUCGGCAAGAAUCAGUGAAAGACGCUCCCAGGCGAGUACCUAUCCUUGUAAUAGAGUUGGGUUAUCUAUAGCCUCAAUUUCGGAUAGAGAUAUUAGGAACUGCAAUUCUCUCAUGGUAGCCCGUAGUAACAUAGUGGAAUCACCGGAGCUGUGGGCAAUUGGAAAGAAAAUUGGGUUGGGGUGUCGAGAAGACGAACAGGAGGUCAUUAAUGUUUAUGAUGGUAUGGAAGUACGAGAUUCGGAGAUGAUGCCUGGGCAUAAAGAAGGGAAUGAGAAUAGUGUCUUAUGAUUAUUGUGACCUUCAAUAUAAGAGGAGUGGGGGGAGGUACUAAGUCUAGGUACCUGAGACAUAUUAUAUCGUGUGAGGGAGUUGACUUUGUGUGUUUGCAAGAAACAAAAGUGAAGUCUAUAUCUGAUGCUAAAUGUUACUCUUUGUGAGGGGAUAAUAAAGUGGGUUGGUUACACUAUGAAGGGGAGAAUGGAGGGGGAGGAAUGUUAUCUAUGUGGCAUCAAGAAGCCUUUAUAUAUGAAACUCAUCGUAUGGGAAACGGGUACAUUGCGGUAUAUGGCAGGCUCGUUAAAGAUAACCUGAGAUGUGUUGUGGUUAAUGUCUAUGCUGCCUGUAACUUGAGAAAUAAGAAGACCCUGUGGAUGGAGCUAUCGAAUAUUAAGUCUAGCUCACAUGAGGUGUUAUGGUGUUUCUGUGGUGAUUUUAAUGUGAUCAGAAGUCGUGAUGAAAGGAGAGGUAGUACGAAUAGAGCGGAUUAUACAAGUGAGAUUAGAGGUUUUAAUAACUUUAUUAAUGAUAAUCUGUUGCUGGACACUCCUAUUGUGGGGAAAAAAUAUACUUGGUUCAACUCUAAUGGGUUGGCAAAGAGCAGAAUAGAUAGGGUGUUGGUUACGGAGGAAUGGAUGGAAAAGUGGCCUAUGUGCAAACAGUACGUACAACAAAGGGAAGUCUCUGAUCAUUGUGCCAUAGUGGUGAAAUCAGUGGUAAGAGAUUGGGGACCUAAACCCUUCCGAACAAUCGAUGCGUGGUUGUCAGAAAAAGGUUUUGGCGAGAUGGUGGAGACGAAGUGGAACUCCUAUCUAAGUAGGGGGAGCGGGUUUAUAAAGAUUAAAGAAAAGUUGAAGUGUUUGAAAAGGGAUCUAAAACUAUGGAACAAGGAGGUGUUCGGGAACUUGAAUACAAGUAAGAAGAGGAUUCUGCAAGAGAUUGAGGACAUCAACUGUCAAGAUUGUAGUGGGAUUAUGACGGAAGAAGCCAGGUUUAAAAGGUGUGAGUUGUUAAGCCGUCUCAAGGAAGUUGAUAGAAAGUUUGACUCACUUACGUGCCAAAAAGCGAGAGCAAGCUGGCUCAAGAAUGGGGACUCUUGCACAAAGUUCUACCAUUCGACCCUUAGAUGGAGGAGUCUAAGAAAUGCAGUGAAGGGUGUGGAGAUUGGAGACCAGUGGUGUGAGGAACCUAGUACGGUGCGAAGAGAAGCGAAGUUGCUUUUUGAGAAGAGAUUUACAGCAACGAAGGAUUUGGUUGUAAGACUGGAUGCAGUUGAUUUUAAAACCCUUAGUGGUGAGGAGAACCAAGGUCUUAUAGCUGGGUUUACUGAGAAGGAAAUUAGAGAUGUCGUAUGGCAAUGUGAAGGCGCAAAGAGUCUAGGACUAGAUGGUUUCAAUUUUAAUUUCCUGAAGAAGUGCUGGGAAGUCUUAAAAGUGGAGAUUGUAGAAGCGGUGGAGCAGUUCUAUGAAAAUGGGACUAUCCCAAAAGGAUGUAAUGCCUCUUUUGUUGCUUUGGUACCCAAGGUCAGGGACCCUUCCAGGCUCGAACAAUACAGACCUAUAUCGUUAGUAGGUGCGGUAUACAAAAUUAUUGCUAAGCUGCUGGCGGAAAGGCUAAAGAAAGUCCUACCCUCUGUUGUGGAUGAAAGCCAAUCAACGUUCCUGAAGGAUAGAGGAAUCCUUGACAGUGUGUUAAUGGCUAAUGAGGUAGUUGAAGACAUAAGGAGAAGAGGGAGAAGUGGGUUGUGUCUAAAGGUAGAUUUCGAAAAAGCAUACGACUCUGUCAGAUGGGAGUUCCUAUAUGACAUGCUACAAAGGAUGGGGUUUCAUCACAGAUGGAUCAUGUGGAUCUGAGGGUGCUUGGAAAGUGCUUCUAUAUCAGUUCUUGUUAAUGGGAGUCCUACGGAGGAAUUUAAACCCUCUAGAGGGCUUAGGCAGGGUGAUCCCUUGGCACCAUUCCUUUUUCUUGUUGUAGCUGAAGGCUUGGCUGGGUUAGUAAGGCAGGCUGUGAAGACAAACAUGUUGCAUGGUCUUAAGAUCGGAAGAAAAGAGGUUGAUGUGUGCCUCCUACAGUAUGCAGACGAUACCUUGUUCCUCUGUCAAAACUCGUUUACCAAUGUGGUGACUUUGAAGGCUAUUCUAAGGGGUUUUGAGAUAGCCUCAGGGCUGAAGAUUAAUUUCCAUAAAUCAAAGCUAGUAAGCUUUAAUGUCCUUAGUAGUGAUAUUGACUGUUACACAAAGCCAAUCUUCUAUCAUCACCAUUCACCAGCCAUUAACGCUUUUCCUUAUCUCUCUCUUCUCUCUCUAUCCUAAGGCCAAACGCAACAUCUUCACUCACCAUUUCCUUCUUCACCCUGCUCCUCACCAAUGGCUUCCCUCACUCUCCCUAACCACUAUCUUCCCACCUUGCUUCGCUCUCACUCCCCCAACUACCCAUCUUCCCAAAAUCUCUCACUCUCUUCCACGCCAUCAAAUUCUCAAUUUUUCGGUCUCAAGUUGUCUCAUUCUCCCUCUUCCUCAAUCCCCUCUUAUUCUUUCCUCAGAACCUCCAUUUUCGCCAAGGUACAUUUCACUCUUCAUCAGCUUUUUGCAUGUUGGUAACUUAACUUAAUAGUUGUUUU